CUGGGCCUGGAAAAAUACCAUUUCCAGGAAAAAAAAGAGGGUUUUCUGGUCAACUGCUCUCCUGGGAACUGGAAACGUUCAGCUGUCCUUGAGGCCUGCAGCGGGCUCACGGACUGGCCGUGCGUAGCCGUGUGAAUAACGCCGAUGCCGCUUCAGCAGCCCGGCCCGCCCGGGCCCAGGACGAGGACGGGAGGAACGAGGAGCCGGGAGGAAGCCCGCCGCGCUGGAAGCCAGAAUCGGGCGCGGCGGUGGAGGGAGCGGAAGAUGCGGAGACUGAGACACAGAGAAGUGAAGUCACCCGGCGGACAAGCGGCAGAGCCAGGAUUAGAACCCACGUCCUCUGACUCCUAAGCCCGGGCUCCGUCCGCUAAGCUCUCUUCCACCGUAUAGUCACGUCAUUAAUAAAAUAAAUAGAAUAAUAACUAUU
This is a long non-coding RNA of Ornithorhynchus anatinus (platypus), 427 nucleotides long. RefSeq lists it as uncharacterized. The record is from RefSeq and is a predicted model, not a curated record. The transcript is spliced from 2 exons. NCBI's taxonomy places the organism in Eukaryota, Metazoa, Chordata, Mammalia, Monotremata, Ornithorhynchidae.